GCAACCCCUUCAACAGCUGCAACAACAGCAACAGCAGCAACCUCUCAUGCAACUGCAGCAACAACAGCAGAUUCCGUUGCAACAAUCACAGGUUCCCCAAAUGCAGCAACAACAGAUUCACCAAAUGCAGCAGCAGCAGCAGAUCCCGCAAAUGCAGCAGCAGCAGCAGAUUCCGCAAAUGCAGCAGCAACAGCAGCAGCAACCAAUGGUUGGAACAGGGAUGAACCAAACCUACAUGCAAGGUCCUGCAAGGUCACAGCUAAUGUCUCAGAGUCAAGGUUCAUCACAAGGACUGCCAAUCAUACCAGGAGGCGGGUUUAUGAAUUGAAAAUGUCAUAGAACUAGACAACCAUUGUACAAAUGUGAGACCAGGCAGUUGAUUCCAAAAGUGUAGCCAUGCAUUUGGUGCAUAUCUUAACAAUGGAAUUUCGAAGUAAUCAAAUUCAUUAUAGACUCUAGCAUAGAAAUUACUUGUGCCCUUCAAAUCAGGUUGGGGCGGCUGUAAAGGCAAAAUAAAAGGGGAAGAGGGAGGAAUUUUCUG
Molecule: unclassified non-coding RNA, 541 nt
Filed under: Hevea brasiliensis (rubber tree)
Lineage: Eukaryota; Viridiplantae; Streptophyta; Magnoliopsida; Malpighiales; Euphorbiaceae
Source: RNAcentral